This 376-nucleotide ribosomal RNA is filed under the name uncultured Campylobacterota bacterium. RNAcentral describes it as "bacterial SSU rRNA". It matches the Rfam family "Bacterial small subunit ribosomal RNA", at positions 521 to 896 of the family's 1533-position model. The record is from RNAcentral. Lineage: Bacteria; Pseudomonadati; Campylobacterota.
UAAUACGGAGGGUGCAAGCGUUAUUCGGAAUCUCUGGGCGUAAAGGACACGUAGGCGGGAAGCCAAGUCUGAUGUGAAAUCCUAUGGCUCAACCAUAGAACUGCAUUGGAAACUGGUUACCUAGAGUAUGGGAGGGGGAGAUGGAAUUAGUGGUGUAGGGGUAAAAUCCGUAGAUAUCACUAGGAAUACCUAAAGCGAAGGCGAUCUCCUGGAACAAUACUGACGCUAAGGUGUGAAAGCGUGGGGAGCAAACGGGAUUAGAUACCCCGGUAGUCCACGCCCUAAACGAUGUUCACUAGUCGUCGGGAUGCUAGUCAUCUCGGUGAUGCACUUAACAGAUUAAGUGAACCGCCUGGGGAGUACGGUCGCAAGAUUA